ACGUAGGAGGCAAGCGUUAUCCGGAUUUACUGGGCGUAAAGCGCAUGCAGGCGGUUUGGAAAGUUGGAUGUGAAAGCUCCUGGCUCAACUAGGAGAGGUCGUUCAAAACUUCCAGACUUGAGGGCAGUAGAGGGAGGUGGAAUUCCGUGUGUAGUGGUGAAAUGCGUAGAUAUACGGAGGAACACCAGUGGCGAAAGCGACCUCCUGGGCUGCAUCUGACGCUCAUAUGCGAAAGCUAGGGGAGCAAACGGGAUUAGAGACCCCGGUAGUCCUAGCUGUAAACGAUGUGAACUUGGCGUUGGUGGGUUUAAAUCCAUCAGUGCCGUAGCAAACGCGAUAAGUUCACCGCCUGGGGACUACGGCCGCAAGGUUA
This 373-nucleotide ribosomal RNA is filed under the name uncultured bacterium. RNAcentral describes it as "bacterial SSU rRNA". It matches the Rfam family "Bacterial small subunit ribosomal RNA", at positions 525 to 896 of the family's 1533-position model. The record is from RNAcentral.